AUGACACAUCAUUAAAAGACGGCUACGCCUAAUGGCCAACUUCACCAUAAUGUGGGCUCUGAUAAGGAUGUUCCAAAACAAUCUAGGAGACCAAAGUUUAGUAUAAAAGAACCAACCAACCUGGUCAGUUGACCAUAAGAAGACCGAAACGAUCAACAAGACUGAGAAGACCAACAAAUACUAAGAAUAGUUCACCAGUGUGGAAUCGAGCAAGAGGCGGAGAGACCCUGUCCUACUCUGGAGCUCAAUGGACCAGAUAUGGCAUCUGACUCUGGGGACAUGGAACGUCGGUACACUGAAGGGCAGGGAAACAGUGCUUGUGAAUGAUGUGGCGCGCUGCAAAUUAGAUCUAGUGGGGGUUACCUCUACGCACAGUCCCCCAUCUUCUGCCAAAACCCUGGAUAGGGGUUGGACUCUAUUCUUCUCCGGAGAUGACGAGGGCGUGAAGCGCCAAGCGGGUGUGGGGAUACUAAUAAAUCCCCAGCUGAGUGCCAGGGUUUUGGGGUUUACCCCGGUGGACAAGAGGGUCGUCUCCCUACGCCUAAUGAUAAAGGGAAGGAUAACUCUGACUGUUAUUUGUGCGUAUGGACCGUGCAAAUCUAGAGACAGUACAGAGUACCCAACCUUCUUGGAGACCCUGCAAGUAGUCCUGGAUGGGGUUCCAGACGAAGACGCCAAAAUUCUGCUGGGAGACUUCAACGCCCACGUGGGCCACGUGAUCGGGAGGCACGGCCCCCUUCAUGAAGACAUAAAUGGUUGUCACUUGUUACAAUUCUGUGAUAGAAAUGCAUUGUCUAUAACAAACACCAUGUUCCACCAUAGGAAUGCUCUAAAGUAUACCUGGUACAAGAAAAGAAGCACACAAAAAUCGAUGAAAGAUUUCGUGAUCGUAUCAUCCAAUCUGAUGCCGUAUGUUUUUGACACUCUGGUUGAGAGACGGACAAAUCUGCAAAUCAACCACCGUCUGGUGGUGAGUCGGAUCAGGCAAUGGACUCUGGACGAACCUGAAAUAUCCCGGAUUGAUCACCCACCGGUGGGGAAUUGGAUCAGGGAAUGGGGGAUUUUUGACGAACCUGACUUUGCAGAUGACCUUGCUGCCCUUCUCCAAGGCUAAAGAUUAUAAAAGCAUUUUAAAGAAGCAGAGAGACGAUGAAGGAAAAGUAAACAGUCAUACUUUUCUUCUGACAAAUGUACUUAUUGUACGUCACUUUGAAAAAAAGAGUCUGCUAAAUGCCCUCAAUGUUAAUGUAAAUUAAUGUAACCAAAUUUGGUUACUUCUAUCAAUAAUACAACUUUUAAUUUUGAAUACGUUUUGUAGCCUACAUAUCCUUUACCAUAAAUCAGAUACAUUUUUAUAGUUUUCAUGUUUUACCCAAGCACCAUUCUGUGAAGCACAUUCUCUCCAACAAAAUGAACCAUUGUAAACGUACAAAAAUACAAGAAUUAAGAUAAAUGAAUAAAACCAUUGAAAUAUUG
Gadus morhua (Atlantic cod) is the source of this 1476-nucleotide long non-coding RNA. RefSeq lists it as uncharacterized. The transcript has 4 exons. The record is from RefSeq and is a predicted model, not a curated record. NCBI's taxonomy places the organism in Eukaryota, Metazoa, Chordata, Actinopteri, Gadiformes, Gadidae.